GACGAACCGUCCUAACGUUGUUCGGAAUCACUGGGCUUAAAGGGCGCGUAGGCGGCCCUUCGAGUCGGGGGUGAAAUCCCACGGCCCAACCGUGGAAGGGCCUCCGAUACUGAAGGGCUCGAGGGAGGUAGGGGCAGGUGGAACUUCCGGUGGAGCGGUGAAAUGCGUUGAUAUCGGAAGGAACGCCGGUGGCGAAAGCGACCUGCUGGACCUCUUCUGACGCUGAGGCGCGAAAGCCAGGGGAGCGAACGGG
Molecule: ribosomal RNA, 253 nt
Filed under: uncultured bacterium
Lineage: Bacteria
Description: partial 16S ribosomal RNA
Rfam family: Bacterial small subunit ribosomal RNA
Source: RNAcentral